CAGAGAGCCGGCGAGGGGAUGUGGCGGCGCGGCUUGCGGCGCCCCGGCUCCCGCCGCCUCACCUCGCUCGAUAUUGGCGAUGGCCCGCCGCAGGUGCUCCUCGGUCACCAGCUCGCCGACGACCACCAGCAGAUACUUUGAAGACUUGCCAGGUGGUGCCCACUGGAGAAAGCCAGCUUUGCCUUCCGUCACUGCAGCCUGCAGUUUUGGGAUAUGCCUUUAUUUCAAUCACCAACAAGAGCAGCUAGGCUCUCAGCCAUGGAAGGGGCUUGCCAAGGGGACUUGCCAACUGGUUGCAGAAUAGACAGAAGUGGAAACAAUCCAUAGCUGGAAAGAUGCCUGUGAAUUUGAAAAGUAGGAGCUGAGAAGAAUGCAUUUUAUCGAAAAAUAAAAUGCUUACAUUAAGGUAACAGCGUAGGAACUCAUCAUCUGGGGGAGAAAAGGAAGAAGGUUGGUUCUGGCACAGUUCCCCUGCAGCCCUGCAAGACCCAGGGCGUUGCACAGAGGUGCUUUGAAUCCUCAGACUCCGUUAGUCCUCUCUCUUAUCUGAAGGCAGUGCUGGAGGAUGGCUGAACUCCCUCACACCGCACAGGGAGUUGUUCCAGAACAGAUUGCAAGGAGAGUGAUGCAGCACAACUCGGCUCCCUCCUUCUCUCAAGAUAGAAACUGGGCUUUGAAAACAAUAAGCCUCUCCACCAGGCAUGCUCAGAACCUCCCCGCCGGCUGCUGGUUACUGUUGGCACCCACUUACUGCCUGGAAAGUGUAAAAAGCUCUUUCCUGAUGUGCCAUGGGCUGAAUCACUGGUUUUGUAGUUUUGAAAAAUAUAAAUAUUUGAUGAGCUACGGGCUGUCAUUGUCUCCCAGCUCCUUUUCCUGUGCUGUAUUUUUCACACGGGAACCAAGUAAAAAUCGGUGUGCAUACAAAGAUCACAUAUCCAACCCUGUGAAAUGAACUCCUAAGGUGAAUGCAUCUAGGUGUACAAAAAGCCUUUGCUAUGAGUAACAGAUUUUCUCCUGCAAGAGGCAAUAUCUUUAGCAAUUUCCCUUGGAUUUUUCAAAUGUUGUAACUUUUCAGUGCUAUAAGUGUAAUUCAGCAUCGGUAAAAAAAACCUCUUAGAGGUGCUACAACAGUGGUAAUUUUUAUUGCCUCCACCAGAGUAUUGAUCUGAGACUGGACAGUAGCCCCCAGUUAUUUCUGAACAUAGCAGUGUCAAGCUGGCAAAAUAGAAGUCAGGCUAAGGGUAAGGUCACAAAUAAAUUGAGAACAGAAAUACUCUAUUCAGAGUGAUGCAGAAAUAACA
This is a long non-coding RNA of Hirundo rustica (Barn swallow), 1301 nucleotides long. RefSeq lists it as uncharacterized. The transcript is spliced from 5 exons. The record is from RefSeq and is a predicted model, not a curated record. Lineage: Eukaryota; Metazoa; Chordata; Aves; Passeriformes; Hirundinidae.